AGAGUUUGAUCCUGGCUCAGAUUGAACGCUGGCGGCAUGCCUUACACAUGCAAGUCGAACGGCAGCACGGGAGCUUGCUCCUGGUGGCGAGUGGCGAACGGGUGAGUAAUAUAUCGGAACGUACCCUAGAGUGGGGGAUAACGCAGCGAAAGUUGCGCUAAUACCGCAUACGAUCUACGGAUGAAAGUGGGGGAUCGCAAGACCUCAUGCUCAUGGAGCGGCCGAUAUCUGAUUAGCUAGUUGGUGGGGUAAAGGCCUACCAAGGCAUCGAUCAGUAGCUGGUCUGAGAGGACGACCAGCCACACUGGAACUGAGACACGGUCCAGACUCCUACGGGAGGCAGCAGUGGGGAAUUUUGGACAAUGGGGGCAACCCUGAUCCAGCAAUGCCGCGUGAGUGAAGAAGGCCUUCGGGUUGUAAAGCUCUUUUGUCAGGGAAGAAACGGUGAGGGCUAAUAUCCUUUGCUAAUGACGGUACCUGAAGAAUAAGCACCGGCUAACUACGUGCCAGCAGCCGCGGUAAUACGUAGGGUGCAAGCGUUAAUCGGAAUUACUGGGCGUAAAGCGUGCGCAGGCGGUUAUGUAAGUCAGAUGUGAAAUCCCCGGGCUCAACCUGGGAAUGGCAUUUGAGACUGCAUGGCUAGAGUGUGUCAGAGGGGGGUAGAAUUCCACGUGUAGCAGUGAAAUGCGUAGAGAUGUGGAGGAAUACCGAUGGCGAAGGCAGCCCCCUGGGAUAACACUGACGCUCAUGCACGAAAGCGUGGGGAGCAAACAGGAUUAGAUACCCUGGUAGUCCACGCCCUAAACGAUGUCUACUAGUUGUCGGGACUUAAUUGUCUUGGUAACGCAGCUAACGCGUGAAGUAGACCGCCUGGGGAGUACGGUCGCAAGAUUAAAACUCAAAGGAAUUGACGGGGACCCGCACAAGCGGUGGAUGAUGUGGAUUAAUUCGAUGCAACGCGAAAAACCUUACCUACCCUUGACAUGUACGGAACCUCUGAGAGAUUAGAGGGUGCUCGAAAGAGAGCCGUAACACAGGUGCUGCAUGGCUGUCGUCAGCUCGUG
This 1064-nucleotide ribosomal RNA is filed under the name uncultured bacterium. RNAcentral's name for it is "bacterial SSU rRNA". It matches the Rfam family "Bacterial small subunit ribosomal RNA", at positions 8 to 1064 of the family's 1533-position model. The record is from RNAcentral.